UACGUAGGGGGCGAGCGUUGUCCGGAUUUAUUGGGCGUAAAGAGCGUGUAGGCGGCCAGGUAGGUCUGCUGUGAAAACUCGAGGCUCAACCUCGAGACGUCGGCGGAAACCAUCUGGCUAGAGUCCGGAAGAGGAGAGUGGAAUUCCUGGUGUAGCGGUGAAAUGCGCAGAUAUCAGGAAGAACACCCGUGGCGAAGGCGGCUCUCUGGGACGGGACUGACGCUGAGACGCGAAAGCGUGGGGAGCGAACAGG
Molecule: ribosomal RNA, 253 nt
Filed under: uncultured bacterium
Lineage: Bacteria
Description: partial 16S ribosomal RNA
Rfam family: Bacterial small subunit ribosomal RNA
Source: RNAcentral